This 460-nucleotide ribosomal RNA is filed under the name uncultured bacterium. RNAcentral's name for it is "partial 16S ribosomal RNA". It matches the Rfam family "Bacterial small subunit ribosomal RNA", at positions 338 to 795 of the family's 1533-position model. The record is from RNAcentral.
CCUACGGGUGGCUGCAGUGAGGAAUAUUGGUCAAUGGGCGCGAGCCUGAACCAGCCAAGUAGCGUGAAGGAUGACUGCCCUACGGGUUGUAAACUUCUUUUAUCAAGGAAUAAAGUCAGGCACGUGUGCCUUUUUGUAUGUACUUUAUGAAUAAGGAUCGGCUAACUCCGUGCCAGCAGCCGCGGUAAUACGGAGGAUCCGAGCGUUAUCCGGAUUUAUUGGGUUUAAAGGGGGCGUAGAUGGGUUGUUAAGUCAGGUGUGAAAGGUUGCGGCUCAACCGUAAAAUAGCAAUUGAUACUGGCAGGCUUGAGUACAGUUGAGGUAGGCGGAAUGCGUGGUGUAGCGGUGAAAUGCUUAGAUAUCGCGAAGAACUCCGAUUGCGAAGGCAGCGUACUAAACUGCCACUGACAUUGAUGCACGAAAGUGUGGGUAUCAAACAGGAUUAGAUACCCGAGUAGUC